CAAGGUCGAUCCUUUGCCACAUUCCCGGAGCUUGUUAGCUCAUUGUCCCAGCUGACUUAGCUGUCUUAGCUAGCUCACCCAACUAGUUGAGCUGAACCACUUCACUUGAGGUUUGCCGCUCCGUUCCAGCUGAUCGAGCUGCAUAAACUCUUCCCUUGGGUACUUAGUCAUUCAGCCAACCAUCCCCGCAGACAUAAGUAACCUUUGGGAAGUCUUCAAUCAGCUAAGGACAUGCAUCUGGCCCUUACCGGUUCAUGCACUGUCCCACAUCCUUUUGCCUUAUCAACUUAUGAUAUCAAGUCCAGCUCAUGGACUAAUCAUACCAAGUCCUCUCAUGGACUAACCAGAUCAAGUCCUCACAAAGACUAACACUGCCCAUCAGAUCCUGAGUCAAUCAACCAACCACCCCACAUGACUCAG
RNAcentral lists this long non-coding RNA (420 nucleotides) under Brassica napus (rape). RNAcentral's name for it is "long non-coding RNA (BNAP_LNC002526)". The record is from RNAcentral. Lineage: Eukaryota; Viridiplantae; Streptophyta; Magnoliopsida; Brassicales; Brassicaceae.